RNAcentral lists this small nuclear RNA (119 nucleotides) under Necator americanus (New World hookworm). RNAcentral's name for it is "U5 spliceosomal RNA". It matches the Rfam family "U5 spliceosomal RNA". Rfam says of the family: U5 RNA is a component of both types of known spliceosome. The precise function of this molecule is unknown, though it is known that the 5' loop is required for splice site selection and p220 binding, and that both the 3' stem-loop and the Sm site are important for Sm protein binding and cap methylation. The record is from Rfam by way of RNAcentral. Lineage: Eukaryota; Metazoa; Nematoda; Chromadorea; Rhabditida; Ancylostomatidae.
AUCUCAGGCUCCUCUCCAUUCAACCGAGAAAAUCUUUCGCCUUUUACUAAAGAUUUCCGUGCAAAGGUGCAUUUUAUGAGUAUUUGUGGAUUUUUGGAAUCCCCUCGAAAGAGCGGGGU